This 1055-nucleotide unclassified non-coding RNA is filed under the name Hevea brasiliensis (rubber tree). Lineage: Eukaryota; Viridiplantae; Streptophyta; Magnoliopsida; Malpighiales; Euphorbiaceae. The record is from RNAcentral.
AUUUCCUCGAAAGCAAUUUAUUCCUGCAAUGUUUAAGAUGUCCCAAUAUAACAAAAUCAACAUCAACGAAUUCCACAAUAUUAAAGAAACUUGCACAAGCACCAAGACAACAGCCAUACAUCAUUUAGUGAAAUGUUAAUCAGCUAUGAAUGAUAGUUGGGACAAACUAAGGCACCAAAACAGUAGAUUCAUGAUUAGGAAACUAUAAGGGGAGAGUCAACUUUUGUAAUAAGACAAACAAUAACAUGAGAAGUAGUUGACUCAAAAAAAUUAGCAUUCUUGAUUGUUUAAAAAAUGCCAUAUCAAUCAUCCAAUCUGUUUAAGGAAGAAAAACCAAAAUGUAAAAUGGUCCAACUAGAAGAAUUUAAACAUAAAUCAAAUAAUUGUUUCAAUUAUUAGGCUGGACAAUGAAACCAACAAUGUGCAGCCAACAGUUUGACAAUGUACUCUAUGAUUUGCAUAAUUUCAAAGCAGCAUAUCCUGUUAGGCAAUGAGAUUAUAUGGAACACUAAGUGUGCAAUUGUGAAUUUGUAACUUAGGUUGCAUAAAUUUUUGUGGAACAUUUGAUAUUUCAUAGUGAAUUUGCUAUAUCAUAUUUAGGGAUUGAAUUGAAAGGAACCAUGAAAAUUCAGACGCCUCUACAAAGGAUAAUGCAAGAAAACAUGCACAAAUUUGGUAGACCUCAAACACCAAACAAAAAGGGGGUUCAAACAAAGGGGGAAUGUGUACUAACAGCCAAACAAAGGGGAAAAAACCUAAGAGUAUCAAGUUUGUUUCCCAUCUAUCUCACUCCUGAGCAGCAAACGUGUAAUAACAGCCAAAGCUCCAAACAAAGGGAGAAAACCUCAAACACCCAGGUCCAUCAUCCAAAAAAAUUCAACAAAAUGAACGACCAUUUGAUAAUAAAAACCAAGAGUAUCAAAUUAGCUUCCUAUCUAUCUCACUCUUGAAGAAAUGCGUUCGACAAGUAGAAAUGAAAUACAACUCUUUUUCCCAAUUAGCAUCAACCCACUAUCUCAAACAAAAUCAUUCGACUAAAAAAAAAAAAAAGCAAG